RNAcentral lists this ribosomal RNA (492 nucleotides) under uncultured bacterium. Its description in RNAcentral is "partial 16S ribosomal RNA". It matches the Rfam family "Bacterial small subunit ribosomal RNA", at positions 29 to 507 of the family's 1533-position model. The record is from RNAcentral.
AGUGAACGCUGGCGGUAGGCCUAACGCAUGCAAGUCGAACGGCAGCACAGUAAGAGCUUGCUCUUACGGGUGGCGAGUGGCGGACGGGUGAGGAAUACAUCGGCAUCUACUUUUUCGUGGGGGUUAACGUAGGGAAACUUACGCUAAUACCGCAUACGACCUACGGGUGAAAGCAGGGGAUCUUCGGACCUUGCGCGAUUGAAUGAGCCGAUGUCGGAUUAGCUAGUUGGCGGGGUAAAGGCCCACCAAGGCGACGAUCCGUAGCUGGUCUGAGAGGAUGAUCAGCCACACUGGAACUGAGACACGGUCCAGACUCCUACGGGAGGCAGCAGUGGGGAAUAUUGGACAAUGGGCGCAAGCCUGAUCCAGCCAUACCGCGUGGGUGAAGAAGGCCUUCGGGUUGUAAAGCCCUUUUGUUGGGAAAGAAAAGCAGCAGGUUAAUACCCCGCGGUUCUGACGGUACCCAAAGAAUAAGCACCGGCUAACUUCGUG